This 122-nucleotide ribosomal RNA is filed under the name Steinernema scapterisci (mole cricket nematode). The record is from RNAcentral. Lineage: Eukaryota; Metazoa; Nematoda; Chromadorea; Rhabditida; Steinernematidae.
GCUUACGAUCAUAUUUUGCUGAAUAUACGCGAUCUCGUCAGAUCUCGCAAGUCAAGCAGCAACGGGCGUGGGCAGUACUUAGAUUGGAGACAGCUUGGGAAUUCCACGUGUCGUAAGCUUUU